This 462-nucleotide ribosomal RNA is filed under the name Streptococcus cristatus. RNAcentral describes it as "bacterial SSU rRNA". It matches the Rfam family "Bacterial small subunit ribosomal RNA", at positions 28 to 472 of the family's 1533-position model. Lineage: Bacteria; Bacillati; Bacillota; Bacilli; Lactobacillales; Streptococcaceae. The record is from RNAcentral.
GACGAACGCUGGCGGCGUGCCUAAUACAUGCAAGUAGAACGCUGAAGAGAGGAGCUUGCUCUUCUUGGAUGAGUUGCGAACGGGUGAGUAACGCGUAGGUAACCUGCCUGGUAGCGGGGGAUAACUAUUGGAAACGAUAGCUAAUACCGCAUAAAAUUGAUUAUUGCAUGAUAGUCAAUUGAAAGGUGCAACUGCACCACUACCAGAUGGACCUGCGUUGUAUUAGCUAGUUGGUGGGGUAACGGCUCACCAAGGCGACGAUACAUAGCCGACCUGAGAGGGUGAUCGGCCACACUGGGACUGAGACACGGCCCAGACUCCUACGGGAGGCAGCAGUAGGGAAUCUUCGGCAAUGGACGGAAGUCUGACCGAGCAACGCCGCGUGAGUGAAGAAGGUUUUCGGAUCGUAAAGCUCUGUUGUAAGAGAAGAACGAGUGUGAGAGUGGAAAGUUCACACUGUGA